Molecule: small RNA, 3127 nt
Filed under: Pan troglodytes (chimpanzee)
Lineage: Eukaryota; Metazoa; Chordata; Mammalia; Primates; Hominidae
Description: retained intron
Source: RNAcentral
CGGAAGUUGACCGGGCUGCGGAGCUUCUGGGCUGCAGCUCCUGGAGUUUUCGAGGUUCGUGCGUGUCUGGUGGCGGCGGCGUGAUGUUCUCGGCAGGAGCGGAGAGUUUGCUCCACCAGGCCAGGGUGACAGAAACGAGGAGGUCAGAGCCGUGGGCCAGGGCGUGCUGCGAGCGCUGGAGAGCCGGCAGCCUGAGGGACCCAGCCUCAGACACCUCCUCCCCGUCAUGGCCAAGGUCGUGGUCCUCAGCCCGGGCACCCUCCAGGAGGACCAGGCCACCCUGCUCAGCAAGCGGCUGGUCGACUGGCUGCGCUACGCCAGCCUCCAGCAAGGGCUCCCGCACUCCGGCAGCUUCUUCUCCACGCCCAGGGCCCGGCAGCCGGGCCCCAUCACCGAGGUGGACGGGGCAGUAGCCACAGACUUCUUCACGGUGCUCUCCACCGGCCACCGCUUCACAGAAGACCAGUGGCUGAACGUGCAGGCCUUCUCCAUGCUGCGGGCGUGGCUGCUGCACAGCGGCCCCGAGGGCCCAGGCACCCUGGACACAGAUGACAGGUCAGAGCAGGAGGGCUCCACUCUGUCGGUGAUCUCCGCCACCUCCUCUGCCGGCCGCCUGCUGCCGCCCCGGGAGCGGCUUCGGGAGGUGGCCUUCGAGUACUGCCAGCGCCUCAUUGAGCAAAGUAACCGACGAGCCCUGAGGAAGGGGGACUCCGACCUGCAGAAAGCUGUAAGUGGCUGGGGACCAGGGGAUGGGAGGCAGCGACUCGGCCCAUUUGAUGUGGUCCACGUCCCGCAGUGCCUGGUGGAGGCUGUGCUGGUGCUGGACGUGCUGUGCCGGCAGGACCCGUCCUUCCUGUACCGAAGUCUCUCCUGCCUGAAGGCCCUGCACGGGCGGGUGCGCGGGGACCCGGCCUCUGUGCGGGUGCUGCUGCCCCUCGCCCACUUCUUCCUGAGCCACGGGGAGGCAGCUGCAGUGGACUCGGAAGCCGUCUACCAGCACCUGUUCACCAGGAUCCCGGUGGAGCAGUUCCACAGCCCCAUGCUGGCCUUUGAAUUCAUCCAGUUCUGCAGGGACAACCUCCACCUGUUCAGCGGGCACCUCAGCACCCUCAGAUUGAGCUUCCCCAACCUCUUUAAGUUCCUGGCCUGGAACAGCCCACCCCUCACCUCCGAGUUUGUGGCACUCCUCCCGGCCCUGGUGGACGCUGGCACAGCCCUGGAGAUGCUGCACGCGCUGCUGGACCUGCCCUGCUUGACGGCGGUGCUGGACCUGCAGCUCAGGUCAGCACCGGCUGCAUCCGAGAGGCCACUCUGGGACACCUCUCUCAGGGCCCCCAGCUGCCUGGAGGCCUUCCGGGACCCGCAGUUCCAGGGUCUUUUCCAAUACCUGCUGCGCCCCAAGGCCAGUGGCACCACUGAGAGGUUGGCGCCACUCCACCAGCUGCUACAGCCCAUGGCCGGCUGUGCCCGCGUGGCCCAGUGUGCCCAGGCCGUGCCCACGCUGCUGCAGGCAUUCUUCUCAGCAGUGACCCAGGUGGCUGACGGGUCCCUGAUCAACCAGCUGGCGCUGCUGCUCCUGGGCAGGAGCGACUCGCUCUACCCGGCCCCAGGGUACGCUGCCGGUGUGCACAGGUAGGUCCCUCCUGCCACAGCCCUGGGCGGGUGCCUCCUGGACCCCUCCCCCUCUCCCCUCCCCUUCAGUGGCUUCGGCACCACCCCUUGCUGGGCCCUCAGCAGCCUCAGACCCUGCCACCCCCACCCACAGCCCCACACCCAGCCCCAGGCACUUCCUCUCUGCCUCUCAAGAACAUUCCCCUGUCCUUCCUUCUGCCGAGCGUGUCCUCUUCAGGGUUAGCUCAGGUCCCUCUUCCACGUCCUGUCCCCUGGGGUCCUUCUCUCCAAAGGCCUGAUGCAUGCAGGCCCAUCCUGGUUCCACUCUGAGCCCGGGCCUUAGGCCAGCGCUGGUGCCAGCCUUCUCCCCAGUGAGGAGGACAGUUUCUCUAGGGCUGGCAGUCGUCUGUGUCCCUCUAUCGGAGGGUGCAGCAUACACCUACCACUCAGACGCUUCCCGGGUCCCUCCAGGCCCUUGGCCUGAAUGGGGUGGCCAGGAUGGGGAUGGGGUCAGAGGUCUGCACAGAGCAGGCGUGGACCCGGCUUUCUGCGCAGUGUGCUGAGUUCUCAGUUCCUGGCCCUGUGUACGCUGAAACCCUCCCUGGUGGUGGAGCUGGCAAGAGACCUGCUGGAGUUCCUGGGCAGCGUGAAUGGUCUCUGCAGCAGGGCGAGCCUCGUCACCAGCGUGGUGUGGGCCAUCGGCGAGUACCUGUCGGUGACCUACGAUCGGAGGUGCACCGUGGAGCAGAUCAACAAGUUCUUCGAAGCCCUGGAGGCCCUGCUAUUCGAGGUCACCCAGUGCCGCCCCUCUGCUGCCCUGCCCAGGUGUCCCCCCCAGGUGGUCACCGUGCUGAUGACCACGCUGACGAAGCUGGCCUCCCGGAGCCAAGAUCUGAUCCCCAGGGCCUCUUUAUUGCUGUCAAAGAUGAGGACCCUGGCUCACAGUCCAGCCACCAGCUCCACGCACAGCGAGGAGGGCGCAGAAGCCAUCCGUACCCGGGCCACAGAGCUGCUGACCCUGCUGAAGAUGCCCAGCGUGGCCCAGUUUGUGCUCACACCCAGCACGGAGGUGUGCAGCCCCCGCUAUCACCGCGAUGCCAACACGGCCCUGCCCCUGGCCCUGCGCACGGUCAGCCGGCUGGUGGAGAGGGAGGCCGGCUUCAUGCCAGGGUGAAGGGACAGUGGCCAGGGACUUCGGUGCAGAUUAAGAGCCUGGGGCGGCCAGCUUGCUACUGAGGCCAGGCUGAUAGGAGCUCAGGAGGCAAGGCCCACGGUGGGCUUGGCACCCUCAGAGACACGCGGGGCUGGCCCCCCUGCUCACCCUCUGGGCUUUGUCUCCGAGCCUUUUGCUCCCAGGCAACACUGAGCUGAGCUGAGGGGAACCAUGGAGCAGCUCUGAUUGGAGGCUUGAGGCCCUGUGGCUGGGUGGAGGCUGCUGGGUCUGUUUCCUAGUCUUUUGUUUUUGGACAGUUGAUGGGCAAGAAGAGCUGCAGUAAAAGUAAAUCUCCUUUAAUAA